RNAcentral lists this ribosomal RNA (373 nucleotides) under uncultured bacterium. RNAcentral's name for it is "bacterial SSU rRNA". It matches the Rfam family "Bacterial small subunit ribosomal RNA", at positions 365 to 758 of the family's 1533-position model. The record is from RNAcentral.
CGAGAGUUGGGCGCAGCCUGUCUAGCCUGCCGCGUGAGCGAUGAAGGCCUUAGGGUUGUAAAGCUCUUUCAGGGGGGAAGAUAAUGACUGUACCCCCAGAAGAAGCCCCGGCUAACUCCGUGCCAGCAGCCGCGGUAAUACGGAGGGGGCUAGCGUUGUUCGGAAUUACUGGGCGUAAAGCGCACGUAGGCGGACGGAGAAGUCAGAGGUGAAAUCCCAGGGCUCAACCUUGGAACUGCCUUUGAAACUUUCUGUCUUGAGGUCGAGAGAGGUGAGUGGAAUUCCGAGUGUAGAGGUGAAAUUCGUAGAUAUUCGGAGGAACACCAGUGGCGAAGGCGGCUCACUGGCUCGAUACUGACGCUGAGGUGCGAAA